RNAcentral lists this long non-coding RNA (1012 nucleotides) under Oreochromis niloticus (Nile tilapia). RNAcentral describes it as "lncRNA (ENSONIG00000034692.1)". The record is from RNAcentral. Lineage: Eukaryota; Metazoa; Chordata; Actinopteri; Cichliformes; Cichlidae.
GUUAAUACACUCUACUGAUCCCUGAUGGGAGAAUCAUCACCUCUGCCAACAAAGAAGCCUGGUGGAUGUUUGUUUACAGUCUGAUGAUGCGACACCAUGCUCUGCAUCUUCAAAGUUUGUCUCUUGAUUAUUAUUCAUACACAGUAAUGUGAAGCAUGCUCAUAUCUAGUAUAACUGGACCAACCUGGUGCUCUUCAUUUAUGGAGGCUGUUGAGUCUGAAUGUUGGAUGUUGUGUAUCUCGUGUUCUCUGGGCUUUGUUGUCCUCAGUCUUUUUGCAGGAUCAGAAAACAAAACCAGGAGGCCUGUAAAUGUUUCUUCUCCAAUUGGAUGAUGAUAAGACUGUGACAUGGGAUGCCACCUUUAGUCUUGUGAUGAAGCAAAGCUCAGGAAGAAGUGUGAUUAAAUGGUACCCACAUGUGUGCUGCUGAGAAGGAUGUACAGGGGCACCUGCAGCCAAAUCCAAGCCUCCUCAGAUGGUGAUGGUGUGGAGAGACGGUGGUGUUUCCUCAGAAGAACUAGCAGAGUCACCAAGGGCACGAGUCCAUCUCACCACCUUGACUUGCUGACUGAUGCUCGUCUGCACUGCACAGAGGAAAUCAACUGACCGAGGUUUGUUUCUGAGUGAGGGAGAGAGGAGUCAUCAUCCAGGUAAAGUGACGUGGAUCAGUGGAUACACUUGUCUUCGCUUUCAAAGGCGAUACUCUUAGAGAGAGACGAUCCGAGUCAUCCUUAAAUGUUAGUGCUUUCAAAUACACAAACAUUUUUAAAGGACAAAAUCGAACAUCCCACUUUGACUGUAAUACAAUUAAAUCUUUGCAUGUGUGUUUUCAAACUCUCAGAUGGGCAGGAUAUCAGUCUUGGACUGUGUAACCUGCAGGAGCAGCAUUGAAUGACCACCACACAUGAGCAUGUUCCUGCAACAUUCAGCAGCUUUGCUUUUGGUAAGUAGAGUUAUUUAACUACAGUAAUUAUAAACACAUGAUAUCCAUUUCUAACGGCCUGGUUACUUCC